RNAcentral lists this transfer RNA (62 nucleotides) under Cavia porcellus (domestic guinea pig). It matches the Rfam family "tRNA". Rfam says of the family: Transfer RNA (tRNA) molecules are approximately 80 nucleotides in length. Their secondary structure includes four short double-helical elements and three loops (D, anti-codon, and T loops). Lineage: Eukaryota; Metazoa; Chordata; Mammalia; Rodentia; Caviidae. The record is from Rfam by way of RNAcentral.
AGGGAUUUAGCUCAGUGGUGUAAGCGCCUGCCUUGCAAGUAUGAGGCUGAGUUUAAUCCCUG